Megalobrama amblycephala (Wuchang bream) is the source of this 1090-nucleotide long non-coding RNA. RefSeq lists it as uncharacterized. The record is from RefSeq and is a predicted model, not a curated record. The transcript has 2 exons. Lineage: Eukaryota; Metazoa; Chordata; Actinopteri; Cypriniformes; Xenocyprididae.
UGUCCGCUUCACACAAACACUCAUCGGCGCAUGAUACAUACAUGCUCCGGAGAGCACAUCGGAGAGCAUGGAUGCAGUGCUGGGCCAACGCGAGGAGCCAUGCAGAUCCAACCACUGCAGAAGCAAGAAAGGUCUGUCCACACAUCUACCUGUCUCUCUGAUCUAGACUCUUCUCUUAGAGUAUUUGACAGACUGUGGUUGACACUCGAUUUAAGGGGGUGUCAGUUUGUCAAAUACCCCAAGAGAGGAGGCACGAGUCUCCAGAGUUCUGCGUUUGAUCCUGUAACCCUCAUAUGUUCAACCAUGUUUGCAGUAUAUGUGUAAAUGUAGCUACUUAUUGCUCAUGCAAAAUGUCUAUGGAAAAAAAAAAAAAAAAUCAAAUAAGCAGGACCACAAGAAGAGUUUUCCACAUGACAAUUUAUUCAUUUAUAAUGUCCAUAUUUGUUCAUUAGCUCUAUAUUGCUGCAAUAUUUCUGGGUGGGUGAACAGGUAGAUUAGAUACAUAGAUGGAAAAACAAAUGCCAGAAAAGUACCAUUAAUGUAGUGCUGUGUGUAUCAGGGAUCAUUAUGUUAUAAUAAAGUACUCUUACACUCUCCACAUGAUUCAUAUAACCAGUGUUCAGCGGUCUGAGGACACUGACAGCUGCUGGUGACAGCUGAAAUUUGUGUGUGUCAUUAUUAGUAUGUGUUGUAAUGCGAAUAGGAGUGUGCUAUCUGUAUUUGUGUGAAUUAAAUUUAACCAUGUUUUGUUUACCUUUAGUAAUUCAAUUCUGUGUACAGUGAUUGUUUAGGAUUAUGAAACAAUAAUUACUCCUUUUAGACAUGUAAUUUUAUCAGGUUCAUGAGAAAAAUACAUUUGCUUUUCCAGAAAGAAACACUGGUGCUUGCAAGGCUGCAUACGAAUGGUUUGUUUACUGCUUGUUUUCUGAGAAGGCCAACUUUCAAUUUAAAUCUUGAAACUGAAUUUACUUUGAAUUAAGGUAGCAAAUAAAAAUUAGAAUUUAAUUGUUGAAUUAUUUUUGAUUUAACUACAAUUUACAAAGUGUAAAGGAAAGUUUGUAUGUAAUAAAUAAAAAAUGUUUAGCAUUAA